GACGAACUGCGCAAACGUUAUUCGGAAUUACUGGGCUUAAAGGGUGCGUAGGCGGCCAGGAAGGUGGGGUGUGAAAUCCCUCGGCUUAACCGAGGAACUGCGCUCCAAACCACUUGGCUUGAGUAAGGCAGGGGUGAGCGGAACUAAUGGUGGAGCGGUGAAAUGCGUUGAUAUCAUUAGGAACACCGGUGGCGAAGGCGGCUCACUGGGCCUUUACUGACGCUGAGGCACGAAAGCUAGGGGAGCGAACGGG
This 253-nucleotide unclassified non-coding RNA is filed under the name uncultured Pirellulaceae bacterium. RNAcentral's name for it is "contains 16S-23S intergenic spacer region". It matches the Rfam family "Bacterial small subunit ribosomal RNA", at positions 524 to 776 of the family's 1533-position model. Lineage: Bacteria; Pseudomonadati; Planctomycetota; Planctomycetia; Pirellulales; Pirellulaceae. The record is from RNAcentral.